GCGUAGCGCAGUCUGGUAGCGCUCUUGAUUUGGGAUCAAGAGGUCGCAGGUUCAAAUCCUGUCGC
This 65-nucleotide transfer RNA is filed under the name human gut metagenome. It matches the Rfam family "tRNA", at positions 5 to 66 of the family's 71-position model. Rfam says of the family: Transfer RNA (tRNA) molecules are approximately 80 nucleotides in length. Their secondary structure includes four short double-helical elements and three loops (D, anti-codon, and T loops). The record is from RNAcentral.